CAAUUCUAUUGGAAGGUCAAUCUUAAAUGCUGUAUAGGAGGAUCUCAUUGAGAAGAUAUCAUUUGAGCAAAGAUGUAAAGCAAGGGAGGGAAUGAGUCAGUGGCUACAUAGCGAGAGUGUCCUAGGCAGAGGAAACAGCUUCUACAAAAGCCCUGAAGCAAGAGAAUGUUUGAAGUGUUCAAGAAUAAACAGGAGAUGCAGAAUGAAUGGAAUUGAGAGUGAGUGAGGCAGUCGGAUACAAGAGAGACUAAUAUGGGGCAGCACUGAAGACUGCUGACAGCAGCCACAUGAGUGAGCUCAGAGUGGACACAACAGCCCCUUCAGAGGCUGCAGGGAUGGCAGACAGCCUGACUGCAAUGUCGUGAAAGAUGCUGAGGCAGAACCAUGCAGCAAAGUCAUUCCCAGAUUCCUGACUCUCAGAAAAUGUACUGGAAUGUCCUAGGAUUGCAUCAAGGAGAUUCACCAUAUUCUUGUGAAGAG
This 480-nucleotide long non-coding RNA is filed under the name Homo sapiens (human). Its description in RNAcentral is "HSALNT0314059". Lineage: Eukaryota; Metazoa; Chordata; Mammalia; Primates; Hominidae. The record is from RNAcentral.